UGACAUCUCAAAGUCCCCUUCUACAGGCAUAGGCAGUAAGCCUGUAGCUGUCGUAGGUCGCUAGCGAACAUCUGAGCCGCCCGUCCUCGCGAGUCUGCGACGUAGGCCAUCUCAACAUCCAUGACUGUCGUCCCAUUUGGAGGUAACCAGCUACUUCGAGGAAACGCCACAAACAGCAAAAUCACUUAAUCCUACUUACAUUGCCUAUAUUUCUUCAAGUCUUUCACUUUGGGCUGCUUCUUCUGUCCUCUUUGGUAGAAUUGGAAAUAAAAGAAAGUCAUUAUUAUUCAGAUUAAUGUACACAAACCAAAACAUUUUUAUAAACAAUUUUUUUGAUACAUUUUCUCAUUGUUGAAGGACUUGUCUGUCAACUUGAAUAUGAAGAACAGCAAUAAAAUAAAAGGGUUUCUUUAUAAGAAUGUUUUUUUGUGGAUUGAAUCGGUCAAUUACUAUCAAAUAUCAAAUGUAUAUCAUUUCAAAAUUACAUAAAAAGAUCCCUUUGAAUAACGCACACCAUAUCCUGAAAAAAAAGAUACCACUGAACUAUCCAUAGAACAAAAGCAAGAAACAGACAAUAAAACCUGACCAAUCAGAACUAGCUCAGAAAACAACUGUUAAUUGUUAGAAAAGUCUUUGCACUUGAAGCACAAAUUAUGUAUUUCUGAAAUGAUCAUUUGAUAUUUGUUCUGUCAAUAUCAAAUUGUUUUCAAAUUAAGAUUAAUUUAAUAUUCUGUUACAAAAUUCGACUAUUAAGGUGGUACAUCUGACCUUCAAAACAGCGGUACUCCAAAAAUAAACCCUGGUUUUCUGGAAAUCUUAAAUUAGUGUACUAUAGAGCGCAUUAAUCCCAAAUUUUUUAAUGCAAACUGACAGACAAGUGAAUUUUAGCUCAAAAUGGUCGAAAUAUAUUUCUCUUUCACCAAAAGUUUCAUUUCUGCAAAUUUGUUGGUUAAAUUAAGUAAACAAUGACAUCAAAAGCACUAUUUUGUGUUACAGUAGGCCUACUUUUACAUACGUUCAAAAUUUGAGGGAGUAAUUGGUGGUCUGACACCUACAUAACACUAAGGAGAUAACUCUGUAAGAAACAGCUGAACAUUUUUAUACACAAUUUUUUUUAAACAUUUUCUCAUUGUUGAAGGACUUGUCUGUGAACUUGUAUAUGAAGAACAGCAAUAAAAUAAAAGGGUUUCUUUGUUGUAGACCAAGUAAAUUUGACAUUUCCCCUCUCUUAUUCUUCAAUUUUUCCUGCUUCUUAAUAACAGGGACAUUAGAAAGAACCAAUCGAGCAUAUCUUUAGUUUGGCUGCAUCAUUUUUCCAUGUGGACUGCUUCCCAAAAAUGAAACCAGAUAAUCUCCAGAAAACUUCAGCAUGACAUCUCAAAGUCCCCUUCUACAGGCAUAGGCAGAAAGCCUGUAGCUGUCGUAGGUCGCUAGCGAACAUCCCAGCCGCCCGUCCUCGCGAGUCUGCGACGUAGGCCAUCUCAACAUCCAUGACUGUCGUCCCAUUUGGAGGUAACCAGCUACUUCGAGGAAACGCCACACAAACAGCAAAAUCACUUAAUCCUACUUACAUUGCCUAUAUUUCUUCAAGUCUUUCACUUUGGGCUGCUUCUUCUGUCCUCUUUGGUAGAAUUGGAAAUAAAAGAAAGUCAUUAUUAUUCAGAUUAAUGUACACAAAUCAAAACAUUUUUAAGCACAAUUUUUUUAAACAUUUUCUCAUUGUUGAAGGACUUGUCUGUGAACUUGUAUAUGAUGAACAGCAAUCAAAUAAAAGGGUUUCUUUGUUGUAGACCAAGUAAAUUUGACAUUUUCCCGCUCUUAUUCUUCAAUUUUUCCUGCUUCUUAAUAACAGAGACAUUAGAAAGAACCAAUCCAGCGUAUCUUUAGUUUGGCUGCGUCAUUUUUCCAUGUGGACUGCUUCCCAAAAAUGAAACCAGAUAAUCUCCAGAAAACUUCAGCAUGACAUCUCAAAGUCCCCUUCUACAGGCAUAGGCAGUAAGCCUGUAGCUGUCGUAGGUCGCUAGCGAACAUCUGAGCCGCCCGUCCUCGCGAGUCUGCGACGUAGGCCAUCUCAACAUCCAUGACUGUCGUCCCAUUUGGAGGUAACCAGCUACUUCGAGGAAACGCCACAAACAGCAAAAUCACUUAAUCCUACUUACAUUGCCUAUAUUUCUUCAAGUCUUUCACUUUGGGCUGCUUCUUCUGUCCUCUUUGGUAGAAUUGGAAAUAAAAGAAAGUCAUUAUUAUUCAGAUUAAUGUACACAAACCAAAACAUUUUUAUAAACAAUUUUUUUGAUACAUUUUCUCAUUGUUGAAGGACUUGUCUGUCAACUUGAAUAUGAAGAACAGCAAUAAAAUAAAAGGGUUUCUUUAUAAGAAUGUUUUUUUGUGGAUUGAAUCGGUCAAUUACUAUCAAAUAUCAAAUGUAUAUCAUUUCAAAAUUACAUAAAAAGAUCCCUUUGAAUAACGCACACCAUAUCCUGAAAAAAAAGAUACCACUGAACUAUCCAUAGAACAAAAGCAAGAAACAGACAAUAAAACCUGACCAAUCAGAACUAGCUCAGAAAACAACUGUUAAUUGUUAGAAAAGUCUUUGCACUUGAAGCACAAUUAUGUAUUUCUGAAAUGAUCAUUUGAUAUUUGUUCUGUCAAUAUCAAAUUGUUUUCAAAUUAAGAUUAAUUUAAUAUUCUGUUACAAAAUUUGACUAUUAAGGUGGUACAUCUGACCUUCAAAACAGCGGUACUCCAAAAAUAAACCCCUGGUUUUCUGGAAAUCUUAAAUUAGUGUACUAUAGAGCGCAUUAAUCCCAAAAUUUUUAAUGCAAACUGACAGACAAGUGAAUUUUAGCUCAAAAUGGUCGAAAUAUAUUUUCUCUUUCACCAAAAGUUUCAUUUCUGCAAAUUUGUUGGUUAAAUUAAGUAAACAAUGACAUCAAAAGCACUAUUUUGUGUUACAGUAGGCCUACUUUUACAUACGUUCAAAAUUUGAGGGAGUAAUUGGUGGUCUGACACCUACAUAACACUAAGGAGAUAACUCUGUAAGAAACAGCUGAACAUUUUUAUACACAAUUUUUUUUAAACAUUUUCUCAUUGUUGAAGGACUUGUCUGUGAACUUGUAUAUGAAGAACAGCAAUAAAAUAAAAGGGUUUCUUUGUUGUAGACCAAGUAAAUUUGACAUUUCCCCUCUCUUAUUCUUCAAUUUUUCCUGCUUCUUAAUAACAGGGACAUUAGAAAGAACCAAUCGAGCAUAUCUUUAGUUUGGCUGCAUCAUUUUUCCAUGUGGACUGCUUCCCAAAAAUGAAACCAGAUAAUCUCCAGAAAACUUCAGCAUGACAUCUCAAAGUCCCCUUCUACAGGCAUAGGCAGAAAGCCUGUAGCUGUCGUAGGUCGCUAGCGAACAUCCCAGCCGCCCGUCCUCGCGAGUCUGCGACGUAGGCCAUCUCAACAUCCAUGACUGUCGUUCCAUUUGGAGGUAACCAGCUACUUGGAGGUAACCAGCUACUUCGAGAGAACGCCACGCACAAACAGCAAAAUCACUUAAUCCUACUUACAUUGCCUAUAUUUCUUCAAGUCUUUCACUUUGGCUGCUUCUUCUGUCCUCUUUGGUAGAAUUGGAAAUAAAAGAAAGUCAUUAUUAUUCAGAUUAAUGUACACAAAUCAAAACAUUUUUAAGUACAAUUUUUUUAAACAUUUUCUCAUUGUUGAAGGACUUGUCUGUGAACUUGUAUAUGAAGAACAGCAAUAAAAUAAAAGAAUUUCUUUGCUAAAUUUGACAUUUUCCCGCUCUUAUUCUUCAAUUUUUCCUGCUUCUUAAUAACAGAGACAUUAGAAAGAACCAAUCCAGCGUAUCUUUAGUUUGGCUGCGUCAUUUUUCCAUGUGGACUGCUUCCCAAAAAUGAAACCAGAUAAUCUCCAGAAAACUUCAGCAUGACAUCUCAAAGUCCCCUUCUACAGGCAUAGGCAGUAAGCCUGUAGCUGUCGUAGGUCGCUAGCGAACAUCUGAGCCGCCCGUCCUCGCGAGUCUGCGACGUAGGCCAUCUCAACAUCCAUGACUGUCGUCCCAUUUGGAGGUAACCAGCUACUUCGAGGAAACGCCACAAACAGCAAAAUCACUUAAUCCUACUUACAUUGCCUAUAUUUCUUCAAGUCUUUCACUUUGGGCUGCUUCUUCUGUCCUCUUUGGUAGAAUUGGAAAUAAAAGAAAGUCAUUAUUAUUCAGAUUAAUGUACACAAACCAAAACAUUUUUAUAAACAAUUUUUUUGAUACAUUUUCUCAUUGUUGAAGGACUUGUCUGUCAACUUGAAUAUGAAGAACAGCAAUAAAAUAAAAGGGUUUCUUUAUAAGAAUGUUUUUUUGUGGAUUGAAUCGGUCAAUUACUAUCAAAUAUCAAAUGUAUAUAUCAUUUCAAAAUUACAUAAAAAGAUCCCUUUGAAUAACGCACACCAUAUCCUGAAAAAAAAAGAUACCACUGAACUAUCCAUAGAACAAAAGCAAGAAACAGACAAUAAAACCUGACCAAUCAGAACUAGCUCAGAAAACAACUGUUAAUUGUUAGAAAAGUCUUUGCACUUGAAGCACAAUUAUGUAUUUCUGAAAUGAUCAUUUGAUAUUUGUUCUGUCAAUAUCAAAUUGUUUUCAAAUUAAGAUUAAUUUAAUAUUCUGUUACAAAAUUUGACUAUUAAGGUGGUACAUCUGACCUUCAAAACAGCGGUACUCCAAAAAUAAACCCCUGGUUUUCUGGAAAUCUUAAAUUAGUGUACUAUAGAGCGCAUUAAUCCCAAAAUUUUUAAUGCAAACUGACAGACAAGUGAAUUUUAGCUCAAAAUGGUCGAAAUAUAUUUCUCUUUCACCAAAAGUUUCAUUUCUGCAAAUUUGUUGGUUAAAUUAAGUAAACAAUGACAUCAAAAGCACUAUUUUGUGUUACAGUAGGCCUACUUUUACAUACGUUCAAAAUUUGAGGGAGUAAUUGGUGGUCUGACACCUACAUAACACUAAGGAGAUAACUCUGUAAGAAACAGCUGAACAUUUUUAUACACAAUUUUUUUUAAACAUUUUCUCAUUGUUGAAGGACUUGUCUGUGAACUUGUAUAUGAAGAACAGCAAUAAAAUAAAAGGGUUUCUUUGUUGUAGACCAAGUAAAUUUGACAUUUCCCCUCUCUUAUUCUUCAAUUUUUCCUGCUUCUUAAUAACAGGGACAUUAGAAAGAACCAAUCGAGCAUAUCUUUAGUUUGGCUGCAUCAUUUUUCCAUGUGGACUGCUUCCCAAAAAUGAAACCAGAUAAUCUCCAGAAAACUUCAGCAUGACAUCUCAAAGUCCCCUUCUACAGGCAUAGGCAGAAAGCCUGUAGCUGUCGUAGGUCGCUAGCGAACAUCCCAGCCGCCCGUCCUCGCGAGUCUGCGACGUAGGCCAUCUCAACAUCCAUGACUGUCGUCCAUUUGGAGGUAACCAGCUACUUCGAGGAAACGCCACAAACAGCAAAAUCACUUAAUCCUACUUACAUUGCCUAUAUUUCUUCAAGUCUUUCACUUUGGGCUGCUUCUUCUGUCCUCUUUGGUAGAAUUGGAAAUAAAAGAAAGUCAUUAUUAUUCAGAUUAAUGUACACAAAUCAAAACAUUUUUAAGUACAAUUUUUUUAAAACAUUUUCUCAUUGUUGAAGGACUUGUCUGUGAACUUGUAUAUGAUGAACAGCAAUCAAAUAAAAGGGUUUCUUUGUUGUAGACCAAGUAAAUUUGACAUUUUCCCGCUC
RNAcentral lists this long non-coding RNA (5748 nucleotides) under Mytilus galloprovincialis (Mediterranean mussel). The record is from RNAcentral. Lineage: Eukaryota; Metazoa; Mollusca; Bivalvia; Mytilida; Mytilidae.